GGGCACGUAGAUCAGGGGUAGAUCGCUUCCUUGGCAUGGAAGAGGCCUCGGGUUCAAUUCCCGACGUGUCCA
Non-coding RNA from Methanocella paludicola SANAE, 72 nucleotides. The record is from Rfam. NCBI's taxonomy places the organism in Archaea, Methanobacteriati, Methanobacteriota, Methanomicrobia, Methanocellales, Methanocellaceae.